UACGUAGGGGGCUAGCGUUGUCCGGAAUCAUUGGGCGUAAAGAGCGUGUAGGCGGCUCGGUAAGUCCGCUCUGAAAGCCCGGGGCUCAACCCCGGGAGGCGGGCGGAUACUGUCGGGCUAGAGUCCGGAAGAGGCGAGUGGAAUUCCUGGUGUAGCGGUGAAAUGCGCAGAUAUCAGGAGGAACACCAAUAGCGAAGGCAGCUCGCUGGGACGGCACUGACGCUGAGACGCGAAAGCGUGGGGAGCAAACAGG
RNAcentral lists this ribosomal RNA (253 nucleotides) under uncultured bacterium. RNAcentral's name for it is "partial 16S ribosomal RNA". It matches the Rfam family "Bacterial small subunit ribosomal RNA", at positions 524 to 776 of the family's 1533-position model. The record is from RNAcentral.